Molecule: ribosomal RNA, 400 nt
Filed under: uncultured Propionibacterium sp.
Lineage: Bacteria; Bacillati; Actinomycetota; Actinomycetes; Propionibacteriales; Propionibacteriaceae
Description: bacterial SSU rRNA
Rfam family: Bacterial small subunit ribosomal RNA
Source: RNAcentral
AACGCGAAGAACCUUACCUGGGUUUGACAUGGAUCGGGAGUGCUCAGAGAUGGGUGUGCCUCUUUUGGGGUCGGUUCACAGGUGGUGCAUGGCUGUCGUCAGCUCGUGUCGUGAGAUGUUGGGUUAAGUCCCGCAACGAGCGCAACCCUUGUUCACUGUUGCCAGCACGUUAUGGUGGGGACUCAGUGGAGACCGCCGGGGUCAACUCGGAGGAAGGUGGGGAUGACGUCAAGUCAUCAUGCCCCUUAUGUCCAGAGCUUCACGCAUGCUACAAUGGCUGGUACAGAGAGUGGCGAGCCUGUGAGGGUGAGCGAAUCUCGGAAAGCCGGUCUCAGUUCGGAUUGGGGUCUGCAACUCGACCUCAUGAAGUUGGAGUCGCUAGUAAUCGCAGAUCAGCACG